RNAcentral lists this ribosomal RNA (720 nucleotides) under Triticum aestivum (bread wheat). RNAcentral describes it as "partial small subunit ribosomal RNA". The record is from RNAcentral. Lineage: Eukaryota; Viridiplantae; Streptophyta; Magnoliopsida; Poales; Poaceae.
AUGACGGCAAUCGUAGGAUGUUUGGUGUCGACAAGCCCGUUCGGUAUGCUGCGGAUUGCCCGUUGCAUCAAAAACAAUAUGGGCGAGUGGGCGGAAUGGGAAUACAGGUGGUUUGAUCCAGACGGCCCAAUGUUUCCUCCGUUGCCAGAUUGUAACCCAGCUUUCCACAACGGCUUGAUGUACCUAUUGGAAGAAGACGGAGGGCUAGCAGUCUAUGAUGUGAGUAGGCAUGAUGGAAACUUUGAAAUCCUGGACAAGCCCAACAGCUUUGGAUUCGAAUGUGAAGACAGCUACUUGGUUGAGUCGGACCAACACGAGCUCAUGGCUGUCCUUGUUGGGCACCGUCGGACGCCGGUAAACGUUGUCAAGCUCAAUGAGCAUACAAUGGAGUGGGAGAAGAUAGAAAACCUAGAGGGGAGAUCCCAAUUCACUGGAUCGUUGUCGACGGCAAUGAAGAAGACUAACAUCAAGUGGAUGCAGAACAAGAUAUUUCUCCCUAGGUUCUAUGAUUGGCCUCGGAGGACCGUCCUCGUUGACCUUAUACAACGAGACGGUGAAUUGGCCUUCGUGCCAAAUUCAAGAUUCUCAGAUACCACGAUAGAGGAUAACUAUGGCACAGACAUAUGGACUUACGAAUUGGGACAAGGUGAGGAAGCAAAGGAAUUUUGGGAAACAGAGAGAGUGAAUUAUAGUAUUUGGGUUGAUUUCAGUAGUUAUUAA